Small nucleolar RNA from Nothoprocta perdicaria, 101 nucleotides. Its record names the gene SNORD16. It matches the Rfam family "Small nucleolar RNA SNORD16". Rfam says of the family: U16 is a member of the C/D class of snoRNA which contain the C (UGAUGA) and D (CUGA) box motifs. The record is from Ensembl. NCBI's taxonomy places the organism in Eukaryota, Metazoa, Chordata, Aves, Tinamiformes, Tinamidae.
UGCUGUGAUGAUGUAAUUUGCGUCUUAUCCAGUGUUCAGUGACAGUUGCCURCUGUCAGCACGCUGGCGCUGUUGAAUUGAAGACACUUCUAUUCUGAGCA